AUCAUAUACGUUCAUUUAUAGUUUCCAUGGGGUAGAAUACUAUAUCUUCUCUUCCCUUGCUAUAUUCAGCUUACAAUUCCAAAUAUCAUGGACUUCAAUCUCUCCAAAAGGCCUAUCCAAUGCUUUUCUCUGCUACUUUUCUUGUUGUUGCUUCUGAUAGCCACGGAUAGCACAGAAGCUUCAUCUCCAAGCAAUUCUGAUCCUGGUCCUGUGAAACCAACAACCCCUUUAGUCACUUUCCUAGAACGUGUCCAACAACUGGCAUUUUACACCUUUGGAGAAUCCAACUUCGACCCAAAACUCUACGUUGACUUGUCGUUGAAGUUCAAUUUGGAAGACGCAGAGAAGGCUUUUGAUAAGCUUCCAAGGUCUGGAAAUGGGAAAGUGUCUGUUAAAGAUUUGAGAGGGUAUAUUGGGAAAUAUUUUGAGGCUGCUGGGGAUGACGUGGUGUAUGCAGAGCCAGAGGAUUUUGUCCCUGAGCCAGAGGGGUUUUUGCCUAAGGUGAAGAACCAAGAAGUGAGGGCUUGGGCUUUGGAGGUUCAUUCUCUUUGGAAGAAUUUGAGCCGCAGAGUCUCCAGUGAGACACACAAACAUCCUGAGUUGCAUACUCUUCUUCCUUUGCCUAAGCAGGUCAUAAUUCCUGGUUCAAGAUUUAGAGAGGUCUACUAUUGGGAUUCUUAUUGGAUAAUAAGGGGAUUGCUAGCAAGUAAAAUGCAUGAUACAGCUAAAGCAAUUGUGACUAAUCUAAUUUCCCUUAUAGAAGAAUAUGGUUUCGUUCUUAAUGGUGCAAGGGCUUAUUACAGUAACAGGAGCGAGCCACCACUCCUAAGUGCAAUGGUUUAUGAAAUAUACAAGAGGACUGGAGAUUUGGAAUUUGCUAAAAAGUGUCUUCCUGCACUGAUCAAGGAACACCAAUUUUGGAAUUCAGAAAUACACAAGGUGACCAUUCAGGAUGCUCAGGCUUGCACUCAUACUUUAAGUCGAUACUAUGCAAUGUGGAAUGAACCGAGGCCUGAAUCUUCGACGCUUGAUGAGAAAUUUGCUUCGAAGAUCCCAGAUGUGGAAAAGAAACAUUUUUUUCGUGAAGUGGCUUCAACUGCGGAGUCUGGUUGGGAUUUUAGUACAAGAUGGAUGAGAAACACCACAGAUUUUACAACACUGGCCACUACAUCAAUCUUACCAGCUGAUUUAAAUGCUUUCAUUCUCGGGAUGGAACUCAAUAUUGCAUCAUUGGCGAAAGCAAUAGGAGACUAUAACAUCUCUAAGCACUUUCUCAAAGCUUCUCAGGCUAGAGAAAAAGCAAUAAGAUCUGUUUUCUGGAAUGCAGAUAAGGGACAGUGGCUUGACUACUGGCUUGCCAAUGGCACAUGGAAGGAAGCUGAAAAAUGGGAAGCUCGGAACCAGAAUCCGAAAGUAUUUGCUUCAAAUUUCAUUCCUUUGUGGAUUAAAUCGUUUUAUUCAGAUACUAUUCUGGUGGACAAAGUCAGAAGGAGUCUCCAAAGUUCUGGUUUGCUACGUUCUGUUGGUAUUGCAACAUCUCUGACAAAGUCAGGACAACAAUGGGACUUCCCGAAUGGUUGGGCUCCACUACAACACAUGAUAGUUGAAGGUUUGGCAAGAUCAGGAUCAAAACAAGCAAGGUCAUUAGCAAUGGACAUUGCUGUGGGAUGGAUCAGAACCAAUCAUGUUGCAUAUAAGAAAACCAGCGCCAUGCACGAAAAAUACAAUGUCGAAAAGUGUGGAGAUUUUGGAGGUGGUGGUGAAUACAUACCCCAGACUGGUUUUGGGUGGUCAAAUGGAGUAGUAUUGACAUUCUUGGAGGAGUUUGGAUGGCCUGAAGACCUAAACAUAGACUGUUGACAGGCUUUCCAACCAAAGCAGAUGAUUUCUUUUUCUCAAACUGCAAACAAUCGGUUUAGGAGUUGAAGUCCAUGUAUUGCCACGAGUUUUUGCCUGGCGGAAUCUAUAGUUAGGUCAAUAUCUUUCCCCAUGUGCUUCUUAAAAAGAAAACUGUUGUCCUUCAUUUCUAUUUUGGAUUUUAUACACACAA
Ziziphus jujuba (common jujube) is the source of this 2050-nucleotide RNA transcript. It is a transcript of the gene named probable trehalase, with no coding region annotated. The record is from RefSeq and is a predicted model, not a curated record. The transcript is spliced from 12 exons. NCBI's taxonomy places the organism in Eukaryota, Viridiplantae, Streptophyta, Magnoliopsida, Rosales, Rhamnaceae.